This 468-nucleotide ribosomal RNA is filed under the name uncultured bacterium. RNAcentral describes it as "partial 16S ribosomal RNA". It matches the Rfam family "Bacterial small subunit ribosomal RNA", at positions 28 to 507 of the family's 1533-position model. The record is from RNAcentral.
GAUGAACGCUGGCGGCGUGCUUAACACAUGCAAGUCGAACGGAAAGGCCCUGCUUUUGUGGGGUGCUCGAGUGGCGAACGGGUGAGUAACACGUGAGUAACCUGCCCUUGACUUUGGGAUAACUUCAGGAAACUGGGGCUAAUACCGGAUAGGAGCUCCUGCUGCAUGGUGGGGGUUGGAAAGUUUCGGCGGUUGGGGAUGGACUCGCGGCUUAUCAGCUUGUUGGUGGGGUAGUGGCUUACCAAGGCUUUGACGGGUAGCCGGCCUGAGAGGGUGACCGGCCACAUUGGGACUGAGAUACGGCCCAGACUCCUCCGGGAGGCAGCAGUGGGGAAUAUUGCACAAUGGGCGGAAGCCUGAUGCAGCAACGCCGCGUGCGGGAUGACGGCCUUCGGGUUGUAAACCGCUUUCGCCUGUGACGAAGCGUGAGUGACGGUAAUGGGUAAAGAAGCACCGGCUAACUACGUG